RNAcentral lists this ribosomal RNA (497 nucleotides) under uncultured bacterium. RNAcentral's name for it is "partial 16S ribosomal RNA". It matches the Rfam family "Bacterial small subunit ribosomal RNA", at positions 28 to 507 of the family's 1533-position model. The record is from RNAcentral.
GAUGAACGCUGGCGGCGUGCCUAAUACAUGCAAGUCGAGCGAACGGACGAGAAGCUCGCUUCUCUGAUGUUAGCGGCGGGCGGGUGAGUAACACGUGGAUAACCUACCUAUAUGACUGGGAUAACUUCGGGAAACCGGAGCUAAUACCGGAUAAUAUUAUGAACCGCAUGGUGCAAAAGUAAAUGACGGUCUUGCUGUCACUUAUAGAUGGUUCCGCGCUGCAUUAGCUAGUGGGUAAGGUAACGCCUUACCAAGGCAACGAUGCAUAGCCGAGCUGAGAGGGUGAUCGGCCACACUGGAACUGGGACACGGUCCAGACUCCUACGGGAGGCAGCAGUAGGGAAUCUUCGGCAAUGGGCGAAAGCCUGACGCAGCAAUGCCGCGUGGGUGAAGAAGGUCUUCGGGUCGUAAAGCUCUGUUAUUAGGGAAGAACAUAUGUGUAAGUAACUGUGGACAUCUUGACGGUACCUAAUCAGUAAGCCACGGCUAACUACGUG